RNAcentral lists this ribosomal RNA (496 nucleotides) under uncultured bacterium. Its description in RNAcentral is "partial 16S ribosomal RNA". It matches the Rfam family "Bacterial small subunit ribosomal RNA", at positions 29 to 507 of the family's 1533-position model. The record is from RNAcentral.
AUGAACGCUGGUGGCGUGCCUAAUACAUGCAAGUCGAGCGAACGGACGAGAAGCUUGCUUUUCUGAUGUUAGCGGCGGACGGGUGAGUAACACGUGGAUAACCUACCUAUAAGACUGGGAUAACUUCGGGAAACCGGAGCUAAUACCGGAUAAUAUUUUGAACCGCAUGGUUCAAAAGUGAAAGACGGUCUUGCUGUCACUUAUAGAUGGAUCCGCGCUGCAUUAGCUAGUUGGUAAGGUAACGGCUUACCAAGGCAACGAUGCAUAGCCGACCUGAGAGGGUGAUCGGCCACACUGGAACUGAGACACGGUCCAGACUCCUACGGGAGGCAGCAGUAGGGAAUCUUCCGCAAUGGGCGAAAGCCUGACGGAGCAACGCCGCGUGAGUGAUGAAGGUCUUCGGAUCGUAAAACUCUGUUAUUAGGGAAGAACAUAUGUGUAAGUAACUGUGCACAUCUUGACGGUACCUAAUCAGAAAGCCACGGCUAACUACGUG